RNAcentral lists this ribosomal RNA (254 nucleotides) under uncultured bacterium. Its description in RNAcentral is "partial 16S ribosomal RNA". It matches the Rfam family "Bacterial small subunit ribosomal RNA", at positions 524 to 776 of the family's 1533-position model. The record is from RNAcentral.
UACGAACUGUGCGAACGUUAUUCGGAAUUACUGGGCGUAAAGGGCGCGCAGGCGGCUGCUCAAGUCAGGCGUGAAAGGCCUGGGCUCAACCCGGGAAUUGCGCUUGAGACUGGGCUGGCUUGAGUGCGGGAGAGGAUGGUGGAAUUCCCAGUGUAGAGGUGAAAUUCGUAGAUAUUGGGAAGAACACCGGUGGCGAAGGCGGCCAUCUGGACCGCAACUGACGCUGAGGCGCGAAAGCGUGGGGAGCAAACAGG